ACUAAACAGUCGGUACUGUGGUGCUUGUGUGUGUGUGUAGGUUUUUUUUUUCUUUCUGCGUGCUGUCUGCUUUGGCGCAGCUAAAAUAAUUUGUAGUUGGUGUCUUGGCGAGCCCUGCGGCUUUAAUUCCUGGACGCUGUGCUCUUGGCGGCCCCGGACUGGCGCGGAGGAACGCACUGCGAGAGGUGUGGUACAAGAGCCACCCGACUGCACGGCAUCGCAUCAAUGUGCCCGCGCGCAGUAUUGCAGAGCUUGAAAUCACGAACAAAAGAAUUGGCUACGUUGGCAGCGCCACGCAACGGCUUUCACAAGCACCACAGCUUCUCUCCUUGAAAAAGUGAAAGGUUCCCGCGAGUCCACCAGCGUCGUGGUCUGGUCCUGGUCGUUAACGUCGGCUGGAGGAGGUGACAAAUUACCGUGUGCGACGAUGUGAUUACCUGAGGGCUUCCCGGUGAGAUAAGUGAUCAGUGACCCAAGUUGACGUCAAAAAAUGGUGAUUGACAAGCGGCAGAUGCCUGUUGGUAAUGGGGCACAUAACCAUGCAGUGGCACACAUUAAGCGGGCCCAUGGAUACACUUCCAGUGGUCCUGAAGGAUCAGUCUGGGACUGAUGCGGGCCGCUCCCACGUCGGUACAGAGAGGCCGAGCCCCUCUGCCGUAACACGGGCCCUCUGGACAGCCCUGAGUUGGUCCGCCAGCACUUCACUGUGCAGCAUCCGCUGCGGUCAUCCGAUGCCGAGGAAAUGG
Molecule: non-coding RNA, 746 nt
Organism: Dermacentor albipictus
Lineage: Eukaryota; Metazoa; Arthropoda; Arachnida; Ixodida; Ixodidae
Source: RefSeq, a predicted model, not a curated record